CACACACACACACACACGUUUAAAGGGUUGUCUAUGUGUGAAUGAGUGAGUGAGUGUGUGUGUGUGCAUUUUUUUUCCCCUCGUGCAGUCUUUACUGGAAAACAUUUCGCACCCAGACAGGCUACGGAGCGAUCGCCGUUCUUUUGGCAUAAAUGAACUUCUCGUAAACUUUGUCUAUUUAAAAAAAAAAACAGAAGUGAAAAUCUCUAUUCUCAUUAAUGGUGCUGAUUUUAGGCAUGAUUGACCUCUGCUUAUUUUUUUUAAUACAAGCUGCCCUUCCUUUUUAUGUUGAUUACUUUUCCGCAGUAGGAUUUUUACUGGAUGAAAGGUGCCUGAUUUACUGCUUACAGGAUGGCAGCGAUGUUCCCCUGCGUGGCCGCACUCGCGGUGCUGGGUUAUGCGAUUACCGCGCUUCCCACGCAAGACUCCAGAAAUUCUCACCAGGGACGCUGGCGCAGGGCGGACUUGCUGUGCCCUCCAGGGGAGUAUGUUACUCAAGACAGACGGUGCGUUCCCUGCCCCCUCGGCUACUUCUCGGCCCACCACAGCAAAGAAAGGUCGUGCCGCCGCUGCUCGCAGGACUGCAGAGAAGUUAUGCACCUAGAAGCCUACAGGAGCUGCAAUGCCACAUCUAAUACAAGAUGCAAAUGCAAGGAAGGGUUUGAAUGCAGCGACUACGACUAUGAGACGCAAAGCUGCAACUUGUGUAAACCCGUGGUGCGAGCAGUGACAGAAGUUCCCUGUAAGGCUGGUACUUUCUUCAGUGCGUCUUCAGGAGGAUGCAAGCAACACACCAACUGUACGUCUCUGGGUCUCACGGUACUGACUGCAGGGAACUCUACGCACAACACUAUUUGUGUCCAAAGGAGCCGAACAGAGGCCAGAGUUGAGUGGUGGUACAUCUUCGUGGCGGUCCUCCCAUUCGUCAUCGUGACAGCUGUCUUGCUGAUUUGGAGACUUGAACACAAAGCCUGUUUAAAAAAGAUCAUAAAAUUUGGUGCAGCUGAAGGGCACAAGAAAGAAAAUCUGUGCCCUCCUCGAAGUCCUACCAGCGUCUCUGAUCUGCUGUUUGGGACGACCUCUAACUGCAGCCCGGAACCGUCCUUCGGCACAGAGCCAGCAGCCCCACAGGCCACUGGGAGUCUGGGUCCCUUUCAUAUUUACAGUGCUGGGACCGUUUUUGUCAGCCUGCUGAAUCAAGUGACCGGCGUGGGGAAGGACGCUGACAAGGAAAGGAGGGCUCGGAGGGAGGACGGCGACGGGCUCGGCCCCGUUGAGCCGCCGUCCUCUCCGCCCGUCCACCUCUCGGAGGAGGAGAGGGACGAACAAAAGGACUGCAUCUUCUUUCCAUCCCAGGAGCAAGGAAAAGAGAUUCACUUAUCCAAAGAGGAGAGGAUGUAA
Molecule: long non-coding RNA, 1401 nt
Filed under: Scleropages formosus (Asian bonytongue)
Lineage: Eukaryota; Metazoa; Chordata; Actinopteri; Osteoglossiformes; Osteoglossidae
Description: lncRNA (ENSSFOG00015030135.1)
Source: RNAcentral